RNAcentral lists this long non-coding RNA (2146 nucleotides) under Homo sapiens (human). Its description in RNAcentral is "HSALNT0314337". The record is from RNAcentral. Lineage: Eukaryota; Metazoa; Chordata; Mammalia; Primates; Hominidae.
GUUUUGAGAGAGGGUGGGAUGUGAUGUCAGCAGAUUGGACUGCACUUGCAAAAGCUGUCCCACAGUGACCAAUGAAAUACUGCUUCAGGACAUCUGAGAUCAAGGCCAAGUAGGAGUCCCAGCCAGGCCUGGUCUGGGUCCAGGGUCAGCAGCUGGGGUCAGUGGUCACUUAGUGGCUGGGUGUAGGACCCAGGCUGUGGUGGGGUCAGGGUAUGUCAUGGGUCACUUGUGGUCAGGUCCAAGACUGAAGCCUGGCUGGCAUUGGGUGUUGAGUGUUGGAGUUGAUUCUAGGGCCAGGCUGCAGCUUCCCCACUGAGGGAGACUGGCUUUCCUUAACAAACUACACCUCUGUGCCUGGCCAGGCCUACAAGCCCCCUUUCCUAAUCCUGGCCCUCUAUCCUUAAGCCCUGCCCCACAGUCUGUCUCCAUCAGGCCUGAGAAGGACCAGUCAGUGUUCCUAGAGGGUCUGUUCAUCCAAGCUGAGGCCCCUGCAUCCUGUCUGCUGAGGUUCCCAGCUCAAAGGCAGUGACCCAGACCCAUGAUUCUCAAAACGUGCUUUUCCUAGUACAAGAGAUGCCAGUAUCUCCCAGGAACUUGUCCCAGGUUAACAAUUUCACCUAAUUCUGACUUUUCCACCUCAUUCUGAAUCCGAAACUCUCAGGGUGCGCUUAGUACUCUCUGUGUUUUUUUCUUUUCUUUUACAAAAUGCCAGGGGAGAGUGCAAAUGCAGUUCCCCAUUACCACAAAUUAUGAAGUCGAGUUUCCCACCUUUGGGGAAAUUGCAGGGAUCAGCACAUCCAGAGUACAAUGGAGAAGACUCGCCCUGGGAAAACCACCUUUGUGAUCAUGGUCUCUCCCCUGAUGGAAUACAAUUGGAAAAACUGGUUAUUUUCCCAAGGCUUUGACUGGAAUGGUGUGCUCUCCUCUAAGGAAUCAAACUUAAGAAGCCAAUGAAACCCUUGGAAAACUGGCCUCAUAUUUUGUGUGCACAGUCCCUGUACAGGGUUUCUGAUGUGUGUUUAAAUUAUAUCCGUUACAGAAAUCAACUCCUGGAUACAUCAUAUUCAAGUCAAAGCCUAAAGAGCUGAGAAAGCAACCCCUAACAGUCCAAAAAAAGUCCUAUUCAUGUAAAAAAAUAAAUAAGAAAUCUUAAGCUAAAAAUCAUAAAAGUUAAGUAACUAAGUAAAAAUUGCUCAUCUUACUCAGUCUCAACCCCACCUCACCAAAUACUUUUUGUCGUUUCUACUUCUCCUUUUAAGCCAACUAUUAAAACCUUUUUUAAUGAAAAUUAUUUACUAUGACACCCUCGCGGGAACUGCUGUACUCACUCUACUAUUUGCAGUAGGACUGUGAACCCUCAGAGUGGAAUAUCUGACAGAGAAUCUCAAUUACUGUAGCAUUUUGCUUAAUUAUUAUCCUCAUAGCAGGAAUAACAGUUACUAACAAAAAAUAACACAUGGGUCUUUCCAAACAUGCACCUCUGCCUGUCAUUAAAAAAAAAAAAAAAAAAAGUUACUUCUGUCUCAACCAGUCGGGCCUAAUAAAAAAUGCUGCUGAAAAGCCUAGGACUAAUGUUUUUACUCUGCCUAAUUAACCUUUAUCAAAAAUUUUUAACCGACAGAAUCAUGGCCAUUUCGCAACUACCCAAAAACAUCUACAAAUGGUGUUGAUCCUACAGUCAAUCUAAGACCAAAAAACUCUCCACCCCCGCAUCAGCAGGAAGUAGCUAGAAAGAACAUGUCCCCUCUUGUCCUUUUAUAACCAUAGGGUCUGGAAUGAUAGAGCAGGAGUACUGUCAUCUCAGACAAACACCGCCACUUUAAAUUCCAGCUCCCUUUCUAGCCUCAUGCAUUUCAAGGAAAUCACUUCUCUUCUAACUACAAGCAGCCAGAAAGAGCAGACAGUAAAACACGGAUAAGACAGCUGGGACACAAAGGGAGGUGGGGGGAAAGUAUCUUGGGUAACUGCCAAACUUCACCCUCAUACGAUGGGCCCCAGUAAAACAGUGGGCCUUAAUAAUAAGGAACAAGCACAUUCCCUUUCCUUCAGGGGCACUAAGACAGGAAAGCUAAAAGCAGACUCUUGGCUGGGCGCGGUGGCUCAUGCCUGUAAUCCCAGCACUUUGGGAGGCCGAGGCGGGCGGAUC